AUUGAACGCUGGCGGUAGGCUUAACACAUGCAAGUCGUGCGAGAAAGUAUCUUCGGAUAUGAGUAGAGCGGCGGACGGGUGAGUAACGCGUAGGAAUCUACCUAGUAGAAGGGGAUAGCCCGGGGAAACUCGGAUUAAUACCGUAUACCUCCUUAGGGAGAAAGAGGGCCUCUCUUGAUGCUCUCGCUAUUAGAUGAGCCUGCGUAAGAUUAGCUUGUUGGUGAGGUAAUGGCUCACCAAGGCUACGAUCUUUAGCUGGUCUGAGAGGACGAUCAGCCACAUUGGGACUGAGACACGGCCCAGACUCCUACGGGAGGCAGCAGUGGGGAAUAUUGGACAAUGGGCGCAAGCCUGAUCCAGCCAUACCGCGUGUGUGAAGAAGGCUCUAGGGUUGUAAAGCACUUUAAGCAGGGAGAAAAAGUUAUAAGUUAAUACCUUAUAACCGUGAUGUUACCUGCAGAAUAAGCACCGGCUAAUUCCGUGCCAGCAGCCGCGGUAAUACGGAAGGUGCAAGCGUUAAUCGGAAUUACUGGGCGUAAAGCGCGCGUAGGUGGUUUGUUAAGUUGGAUGUGAAAGCCCUGGGCUCAACCUAGGAACUGCAUCCAAAACUAACUCACUAGAGUACGAUAGAGGGAGGUAGAAUUCAUAGUGUAGCGGUGGAAUGCGUAGAUAUUAUGAAGAAUACCAGUGGCGAAGGCGGCCUCCUGGAUCUGUACUGACACUGAGGUGCGAAAGCGUGGGUAGCGAACAGGAUUAGAUACCCUGGUAGUCCACGCCGUAAACGAUGACAACUAGCUGUUGGGAGACAAUGUCUUUCAGUGGCGCAGCUAACGUUUUAAGUUGUCCGCCUGGGGGAGUACGGCCGCAAGGCUAAAACUCAAAUGAAUUGACGGGGACCCGCACAAGCGGUGGAGCAUGUGGUUUAAUUCGAUGCAACGCGAAAAACCUUACCUACUCUUGACAUACUUGGAAGCUCUUGGUAAU
This 984-nucleotide ribosomal RNA is filed under the name uncultured bacterium. RNAcentral's name for it is "bacterial SSU rRNA". It matches the Rfam family "Bacterial small subunit ribosomal RNA", at positions 28 to 1007 of the family's 1533-position model. The record is from RNAcentral.